UACGUAGGGUCCGAGCGUUGUCCGGAAUUACUGGGCGUAAAGAGCUCGUAGGUGGUUUGUCGCGUUGUUCGUGAAAACUCACAGCUUAACUGUGGGCGUGCGGGCGAUACGGGCAGACUUGAGUACUGCAGGGGAGACUGGAAUUCCUGGUGUAGCGGUGAAUGCGCAGAUAUCAGGAGGAACACCGGUGGCGAAGGCGGGUCUCUGGGCAUACCUGACGCUGAGGAGCGAA
This 232-nucleotide ribosomal RNA is filed under the name uncultured bacterium. RNAcentral describes it as "partial 16S ribosomal RNA". It matches the Rfam family "Bacterial small subunit ribosomal RNA", at positions 524 to 757 of the family's 1533-position model. The record is from RNAcentral.